This 107-nucleotide small nucleolar RNA is filed under the name Helianthus annuus (common sunflower). Its description in RNAcentral is "sRNA HanXRQr2_Chr06g0257101". It matches the Rfam family "Plant small nucleolar RNA R71". Rfam says of the family: R71 is a member of the C/D box family of snoRNAs containing the C (UGAUGA) and D (CUGA) box motifs. Multiple nearly identical copies of this snoRNA have been identified in Arabidopsis, and it is thought to function as a 2'-O-ribose methylation guide for 18S ribosomal RNA. Lineage: Eukaryota; Viridiplantae; Streptophyta; Magnoliopsida; Asterales; Asteraceae. The record is from Rfam by way of RNAcentral.
AGGCCAUGAUAGGGACACUUGCGUAAUAGCUCCUUGAACCUUUCCCAUGUUUCAUAUAAGGAUUCCCCGUCCUCUUGUGAGUAUGUAUUAAUUUCAGCCAUUAAUUU